CAGAGUUCAUGCCCUUCGGGGUAGAUCUCCCACCCUUGUGUAUUUAUACCUUUGUUGCUUUGGCAGGCCGCUUGGCUCACGCCUAGCUACUGGCUCCGGCUAGUAAGUGUCUGCCAGAGGAAAUCAAACUCUGAAUUUUAAUGUCGUCUGAGUACUAUAUAAUAGUUA
This 168-nucleotide unclassified non-coding RNA is filed under the name uncultured Dermateaceae. RNAcentral describes it as "sequence contains ITS1". The record is from RNAcentral. Lineage: Eukaryota; Fungi; Ascomycota; Leotiomycetes; Helotiales; Dermateaceae.